RNAcentral lists this long non-coding RNA (3344 nucleotides) under Lepidothrix coronata (blue-crowned manakin). RNAcentral's name for it is "lncRNA (ENSLCOG00000007214.1)". The record is from RNAcentral. Lineage: Eukaryota; Metazoa; Chordata; Aves; Passeriformes; Pipridae.
GCAGGAGUCUUUCCAGGCUGAUAGUUUCUAAAUGCUCUUUCAGGCUUAUGCAUUUUGGAUGUCUUUAGCUGAAGCUGGUUUGUUCUUCCUAUCUAUAUCUGCAAUGCCUCCUAUCAUAACCUAUCAUUUCAGCUUAUCGUCACCCUCCUGGGAAUCUUUAGUUCCUCAACAGAGUUGACUGGAAACCUCCCCUCAUGCAUCAUUUCCUGAAGAGUUCAAUCAGCUUAGCAGGAAAGACUGAAGGCCAAAACCUACAAAUAAGAUAAGCUUUGUUAUGGUGACUCUUUUGUGAAAUGACGUGAAACUUCCAGUGAAGGAGUACAUUUGUAUGUGUUAUAGAUUCUACUGGAAAUAUGCACUUUUUCUGGAUGUCAUGCUCCUGGAGACAAAUAGGAAGAAUUAUCCACACCUGAACCUGAGAUUCACUUAUGCUACAUGUGUAUUUAUCAAAUUCAACUGGAUGGGAACCUUGUCCCCUGAAGAACAUACUUGUGAAGAGCUAGAAAUCAUUAAAUCUAGUAACUGCAUUGAUGUGAGCUGGUAACACAAAUGGACACAGAUCAAUUCUCUCCAUUCCAUCUGGAUUGCACUGUGUUGGGAAAAGUGAUAAAGAAAAUUUCUGCUGUACUGGUUAUGCUUAUGAUAGAUGAAAGCCCCUCUAAAGAUGACACUUUAAUGUUCUCUUUCUUGACCUUCUGAUGUAUGUUAAGUCUUGGUUGCUGACUAAAGUAACAACACAGAUAAUUGAGCUUUUAAAGGCCCUAUUUCAUAAAUCUAAUAACAACACUGAGGGAAGCUGAGGUGUAUUCUCUUCUUACUAGUGUAUCAUUAAUAUAUCUGGUAUCACAUUUUCCAUGUAAAAUAGCUCCUAAAAAAGGAUCUGGGCUGACUUUCAGGCUCCAGUGGGCUGACCAUUAGGAAGGAAAUCUUCCUGCUACCUUCAUUAGGAAGAAAAGGACGCUGCAUGAGAGACACUUUUCGAAGUAUGCCUCAGCAGCAGCCCUGUGUUGAGGGAUUUGGUGGCCUACAGCUAGUAAUACAUAGUGGUGUCCUUCAGAAAGGGGACACAAGCCAGUUUUGAGUUGCUAUGCUCCUCUAAAGGGAUUUUGCUAAAAAAGGAGAAGAAUUUAUCACCUCUUAGAAGAUAUUUUGGCUGUACUAUGCAAGCAAUUUAGUAAAAUCUCUGUAUGUGAGUAUUGGCAGUCUUUGAAACAAAAGAAGUAGGGCUGCUUUGUGUGCACUGAAGAAUUUUUGCUUUUGACUCCACUGGAGCCAUAAUUUGUCACCAGAUUCAUAUCCUGAAACCUAAAGUGCCCUUAAAAGGGCUACUGCAAAUUUAUAAAUCGUAAUCACAGUCCUCUGUUGACAGGACAACCAGUACCAUCCUGUUUAGGAUCUUGCCCUGCAAACCUGUAACCCUCUGUCUGUAGCCCACUCAGUACUCACCCAUGAGAUUGCUUUUUCCCCACCUAUUUUUACAACUUUUGUUGAUAACAAAGAGCACCUUUUUAAAAAAAAUGCUUGAAGGCAAAUUAUACCCCUGAAUACUUAGUGUUUUACUGCUUGGGCUUCAAACACUCUGUAACAAGCUGAUUUGUUUAAUGCCUACAGUCCUUACUGGAAAGUUUUUAAAUUGUGUAAACAUUCCUACCAGUUUUAUGUGUUUCUAAACAUUUUUUUUAAUGUGGGUACAAAUUUAACUUGACAGUGUACUUUCCAAGCUUCCAUUAAAUAGGGCCAAUUUUUUAUUGAUAGAGGAAUAUCUCUGAAAUAGCUUUAUGAUGUCUUGCAAUGGAAGACUUUUCAUUAACUCCGACUAGAAAAAUAACCUACCAUGUAUUUGUAAGUCUUUUAUCAGUUCUUACUGUAUCAUAAUGUCUGUGGGACCCCUGCUGGUGGAAAGGGGAAAAGAGAGUGAAAAACUUCAAAGUUAAUGGAGAAGGGAAUAUAUUUUCACUGUACAUUGUGUUUGCCAGCUACUGUUAUCAUGCAGCCACCAAAGAUCUCAGUGUUUUGAAACUUCUCACAGGUUGCAGUUUGUUGCUUUCCUCACAUAACUGUGUUUUACCUCCCUUCAAGUGUGCCAGUGAUGCUUUAAAAGAUCAGUAUAGAAAUCUUCAGCUACACCAUCUGGUUCCAGUUUUCCUUAAUUUGGUGUCAGCCAAGCUCCUACAGUCCGGAUGAUUAAAAGGGACAGAGGGACCUGCUGCACUUUAGGGAUUUAAGCCUUCCUUUUCCUCCUAUAAAUUCUGACCUUUCCAAAAUGAGUUUUCUUUCUUUUCUUUUCCCCUAAGAAAGUGGAACUUAAAGCAAAUGUUUGAUAUUUUUACUGGUGGAGCCAAAUUCCAUGCGUUCUGGCUGCUUUUCACUGACAGAAAAAUUAUUCCACAAUAAUUUGUCAUUAUUUCCAAAGUGAUACUGUAUGUUACUGUAACAAUAACAGCUAACUUGGCCUUUUGAGAGGUAUAUAUUUUCUCAAGAAAUUUCAGUCUAGUAGGGAAAACACUGAUCAUGAUGACCUUGAGGGAAUACAGCCUAAAGAAAGAAGUGGACGUUUGUGACUGUUUUGAAAUCUCAUGGCUGGAACAGUUUCCUGUUGAGGCACUUUGUGCUUGUGUGACAACCCAUGGAGGGGUUCUCCUGCGUGCUCUGUCUGCAGCCUCGGUCCUGAAAAGGUAAAGAGGGAGCAGGGGCAGCCUCAGUCCCCUCUGCUGAAGGGCUCCUUGGGGAAGGAAAACACUGUGCUGUGCAUAAAAAAUCGGUGUAACUGUUAUCUGAUUGUCUGCCUGAUUACAGGACUAAACAGAGUUAGGUUGGCUACCAGUAUAUGCCAAGUAUACUUGUCCUCUGUUCCUCAUAGUAUGACUGAGCCUUGGGAUCAGUUAUUUAGUGGGAUCAUUGGAAAGGCUUGACGAGCUGCUGAAUUCUUCCUUGUCUGGAUUCCUUUGUUUAGGUUGCCUCGAAUUAUCACUGCACGUUAUUAUUUUUAUACACAUACAACUUUUAAAUCCACAUAGAUGACACUUUUUGUGCCAAAAAUGCACUAUGCACUUCUCAGACCUUGCAGCUGGUUGAGCACCAAUGAAGGAAAUGAAUUUGGUAACUGAGCUGGGAGAAAAAGAUGCUUGAAGAUGCAGUUUCUAAUGCUUUCUUGUAGAUAUUCCCAUCAGACCACGUGAAGAACUUUUCCUGUUUAUAGGAGAAUAUAAAAUUUUUAAAAUCUUUUAAAAUUAAAACCUUUGGGAGCUUAAUUAAAUGUACUGUGAGAAAUAUGUGCAGUUCACUCACAGCUAUUGACUUGAGGUUUAUGCAUUAUUGCCAAGUCCUGGAAUGAAUAAAGCUUU